CAGUCGCCGCGGUAGUACGGAGGGGGCUAGCGUUGUUCGGAAUUACUGGGCGUAAAGCGCACGUAGGCGGCUUUGUAAGUUAGAUGUGAAAUUCCCGGGCUUAACCUGGGGACUGCAUUUGAUACUGGCAGGCUUGAGUGUGGAAGAGGGUCGUGGAAUUCCCAGUGUAGAGGUGAAAUUCGUAGAUAUUGGGAAGAACACCGGUGGCGAAGGCGGCGACCUGGUCCAUAACUGACGCUGAGGCGCGAAAGCGUGGGGAGCAAACAGGAUUAGAUACCCCAGUAGUCCCUGUCUCUUAUAU
This 301-nucleotide ribosomal RNA is filed under the name uncultured bacterium. RNAcentral's name for it is "partial 16S ribosomal RNA". It matches the Rfam family "Bacterial small subunit ribosomal RNA", at positions 509 to 809 of the family's 1533-position model. The record is from RNAcentral.